AUGGUGUGCCGCAGGGAGCAGGCGCGGCGCCCAGUGCUGCUCCCGCGGCACCAGAGCACGACAUGGACCAACUUCAACAGGCUCGACUGCAUCUUCUCCCCCGCGCUCAAGCGUCUCCGGGCAACGAAGGUUGCAUGGUUCGAGGCGAAGGAGGCGGCCCCCGCAGGAGACAAAGCUGCAAUGGCGCGGGUGCCGGCGUUGAAGGAGUAUGACCUCGCCUUCGUGCUCUCCAACUCCCUCACAGAGCACCACUUUGGCGUCGGUAAGUCCGGUGAUGGUGAUGAACGAGUAGAUCUAGUUUAA
This 303-nucleotide ribosomal RNA is filed under the name Triticum aestivum (bread wheat). RNAcentral describes it as "partial small subunit ribosomal RNA". The record is from RNAcentral. Lineage: Eukaryota; Viridiplantae; Streptophyta; Magnoliopsida; Poales; Poaceae.